UACGAAGGCUCCAAGUGUUAUCCGGAUUUAUUGGGCGUAAAGCGUACGCAGACUGUUUGAUGCGUCUCAUGUUAAAUCCUACUGCCUAACAGUAGGGCCGCAUGGGAUACGAUCAGACUAGAGGAUGUGAGAGGUGACUGGAACUCAUGGUGUAGGGGUGAAAUCCGUUGAUAUCAUGGGGAACACCAAAGGCGAAGGCAGGUCACUGGCACAUUCCUGACGUUCAGGUACGAAAGCGUGGGGAGCGAAGAGG
This 253-nucleotide unclassified non-coding RNA is filed under the name uncultured Parcubacteria group bacterium. RNAcentral's name for it is "contains 16S-23S intergenic spacer region". It matches the Rfam family "Bacterial small subunit ribosomal RNA", at positions 524 to 776 of the family's 1533-position model. The record is from RNAcentral.